Helianthus annuus (common sunflower) is the source of this 1041-nucleotide RNA transcript. RefSeq lists it as uncharacterized. Lineage: Eukaryota; Viridiplantae; Streptophyta; Magnoliopsida; Asterales; Asteraceae. The transcript is spliced from 6 exons. The record is from RefSeq and is a predicted model, not a curated record.
CCCUCCGAUGUUUCCCGCUUCCUAAUUCCCCUACCCCUAGUUUUACUCUUCCAUUCUGAUUUUCCCCACGAUGCGCACAUCUUGACCAUCUAUUUGAUUGAAACCGCUACCGCCGCGAACGACCAUCAACAGGCGACCCAACGUCAUCGCUUGAAUCGUCUAACAUUGCUUUAGCCACUGGUAUGGUGCUAUUGCGAUUGCGAAUCAGGUUUGAAGAUGCACACCAACUGCUCGAUGAAACGCUUCAACCAAACUGACUUCUAUUUAACAUAGAGGUUCCUGUAUAAGCAAAAAAGAGCAAAUACAUGAUUGUGGAAUAUGUUUUAUGAACCCGUCUGCAAUUUCGCGGGCUGAUCAACGCAAAUCCAAACACAUCGAGGAUCCAAGUAGAGCGGUUGCAGAUCGAUUGUAUAAAAGAAAGGGCAAUGGCAUCAUUGUAUUGCCCUACAACCCCGGGUUUGAUUUUCCUUUUAAAUAAGUAUCCGUAAAGGCCUAUUAUCUUAAUUUAUUUUGAUUGAAUUUUGGAUUUUGAUUUUGAAGAAACCAUUGGGUGUUGGCAGUACUAAACCUGAAAACAACUACUUGCUAUUAUCUUGAUUCCUUACGGCCUAGAAGUGUCGAUGAGCUGUUGAGGCAAAUUAUUGAUACGGCAAUGGCCGUGUAUGCUUCAGAAAGUGGUGCCAACAUAAGGGUUAAACUUGUAUGGAUUAACGCUAGGGAGGCACUGAAUGCGGCUACUAUGUGAUGAAGUUCAUGAAGGAGAUAGCUUACGAAGGAGUUGAAAUACUUGACAAUGAUAAUGUUGGGAAAGGAGUAGAAGAAUACUCGGCUGCGGAUAUGGAUGGCAUUCGUGAAGAUUGGUCGACUUAUGCGGUUAACUCUAUUUUUAAGUUAUAAACCGUAUUUUAGGUGUUGAUAAUGUAUUGACAAACAAUUCUCUUUUUGUUAACUUUAAAAUAUUUGUAGUAUACUUGACAAAUGAUUAUGUAAUGGAUUGUUUUGGUAUAUAUAUAUAUAUGUGUGUAUUUGUUUUAUGAAAAA